Molecule: ribosomal RNA, 253 nt
Filed under: uncultured organism
Description: partial 16S ribosomal RNA
Rfam family: Bacterial small subunit ribosomal RNA
Source: RNAcentral
UACGAAGGGUGCAAGCGUUACUCGGAAUUACUGGGCGUAAAGCGUGCGUAGGCGGUAGGUGAAGUCUGCUGUGAAAUCCCUGGGCUCAACCUGGGAAUGGCGGUGGAGACUGGCAGGCUGGAGGCUGGGAGAGGGAAGCGGAAUUCCCGGUGUAGCGGUGAAAUGCGUAGAGAUCUGGAGGAACGUCAGUGGCGAAGGCGGCCACCUGGCCCAAUACUGACGCUGAGGCACGAAAGCGUGGGGAUCAAACAGG